AUAUACUUAUAAUGCGAAAUGCUCCGUGUUUAUAUAAUAUGGUACAAAAUUUUGAUUCAAAUUUUGUUUUCUUGUUUCUUAAAGUAUUUUAUAUAGAAUAAUUUAAACUUAAGCGUCUCAAGUAUGUUUGGUGAUACAGAUGUUAACGCAAGUUUAAUGGACGGGAAUAAGGUAAUCCCAAGGGUCCCUGAAGCCAGACCACUAAAAUAUAUUUGAAUAAAAUCUAAACACAAACUUGAAA
Molecule: long non-coding RNA, 241 nt
Organism: Danaus plexippus (monarch butterfly)
Lineage: Eukaryota; Metazoa; Arthropoda; Insecta; Lepidoptera; Nymphalidae
Exons: 2
Source: RefSeq, a predicted model, not a curated record